Molecule: transfer RNA, 88 nt
Filed under: Thermoflexales bacterium
Lineage: Bacteria; Bacillati; Chloroflexota; Thermoflexia; Thermoflexales
Description: tRNA-Ser
Rfam family: tRNA
About the family: Transfer RNA (tRNA) molecules are approximately 80 nucleotides in length. Their secondary structure includes four short double-helical elements and three loops (D, anti-codon, and T loops).
Source: RNAcentral
GGAGAGGUCGCAUAGCCCGGUCUAGUGCGCACGCCUGGAAAGCGUGUUCGGCUAAACCCCGACGCAGGUUCAAAUCCUGUCCUCUCCG